CUGAGAUUCAUGGUCCCUUGCUUAGAAU
RNAcentral lists this non-coding RNA (28 nucleotides) under Rattus norvegicus (Norway rat). Lineage: Eukaryota; Metazoa; Chordata; Mammalia; Rodentia; Muridae. The record is from RNAcentral.